This 378-nucleotide unclassified non-coding RNA is filed under the name plant metagenome. RNAcentral describes it as "partial contains 5.8S ribosomal RNA, internal transcribed spacer 2, and large subunit ribosomal RNA". The stretch from base 1 to 105 matches the Rfam family "5.8S ribosomal RNA", at positions 50 to 154 of the family's 154-position model. The record is from RNAcentral.
GAAAUGCGAUAAGUAAUGUGAAUUGCAGAAUUCAGUGAAUCAUCGAAUCUUUGAACGCACCUUGCGAUCCUUGGUAUUCCUUGGAGCAUGCCUGUUUGAGUAUCAUGAAAUCUUCAAAGUAAAUCUUUUGUUAACUCAAUUGGUUUCUACUUUGGUAUUGGAGGUCUUUGCAGCUUCACACCUGCUCCUCUUUGUUCAUUAGCUGGAUCUCAGUGUUAUGCUUGGUUCCACUCGGCGUGAUAAGUUAUCUAUCGCUGAGGACACUGUAAAAGGUGGCCAAGGUAAAUGCAGAUGAACCGCUUCUAAUAGUCCAUUGACUUGGACAAUACUUUUAUGAUCUGAUCUCAAAUCAGGUUGGACUACCCGCUGAACUUAAGC